UCUGAUGUUAGCGGCGGACGGGUGAGUAACACGUGGAUAACCUACCUAUAAGACUGGGAUAACUUCGGGAAACCGGAGCUAAUACCGGAUAAUAUUUUGAACCGCAUGGUUCAAAAGUGAAAGACGGUCUUGCUGUCACUUAUAGAUGGAUCCGCGCUGCAUUAGCUAGUUGGUAAGGUAACGGCUUACCAAGGCAACGAUGCAUAGCCGACCUGAGAGGGUGAUCGGCCACACUGGAACUGAGACACGGUCCAGACUCCUACGGGAGGCAGCAGUAGGGAAUCUUCCGCAAUGGGCGAAAGCCUGACGGAGCAACGCCGCGUGAGUGAUGAAGGUCUUCGGAUCGUAAAACUCUGUUAUUAGGGAAGAACAUAUGUGUAAGUAACUGUGCACAUCUUGACGGUACCUAAUCAGAAAGCCACGGCUAACUACGUGCCAGCAGCCGCGGUAAUACGUAGGUGGCAAGCGUUAUCCGGAAUUAUUGGGCGUAAAGCGCGCGUAGGCGGUUUUUUAAGUCUGAUGUGAAAGCCCACGGCUCAACCGUGGAGGGUCAUUGGAAACUGGAAAACUUGAGUGCAGAAGACGACAGUGGAAUUCCAUGUGUAGCGGUGAAAUGCGCAGAGAUAUGGAGGAACACCAGUGGCGAAGGCGACUUUCUGGUCUGUAACUGACGCUGAUGUGCGAAAGCGUGGGGAUCAAACAGGAUUAGAUACCCUGGUAGUCCACGCCGUAAACGAUGAGUGCUAAGUGUUAGGGGGUUUCCGCCCCUUAGUGCUGCAGCUAACGCAUUAAGCACUCCGCCUGGGGAGUACGACCGCAAGGUUGAAACUCAAAGGAAUUGACGGGGACCCGCACAAGCGGUGGAGCAUGUGGUUUAAUUCGAAGCAACGCGAAGAACCUUACCAAAUCUUGACAUCCUUUGACAACUCUAGAGAUAGAGCCUUCCCCUUCGGGGGACAAAGUGACAGGUGGUGCAUGGUUGUCGUCAGCUCGUGUCGUGAGAUGUUGGGUUAAGUCCCGCAACGAGCGCAACCCUUAAGCUUAGUUGCCAUCAUUAAGUUGGGCACUCUAAGUUGACUGCCGGUGACAAACCGGAGGAAGGUGGGGAUGACGUCAAAUCAUCAUGCCCCUUAUGAUUUGGGCUACACACGUGCUACAAUGGACAAUACAAAGGGCAGCGAAACCGCGAGGUCAAGCAAAUCCCAUAAAGUUGUUCUCAGUUCGGAUUGUAGUCUGCAACUCGACUACAUGAAGCUGGAAUCGCUAGUAAUCGUAGAUCAGCAUGCUACGGUGAAUACGUUCCCGGGUCUUGUACACACCGCCCGUCACACCACGAGAGUUUGUAACACCCGAAGCCGGUGGAGUAACCUUUUAGGAGCUAGCCGUCGAAGGUGGGACAAAUGAUUGGGGUGAAGUCGUAAUAAGGUAGCCGUAUCGGAAGGUGCGGCUGGAUCACCU
RNAcentral lists this ribosomal RNA (1458 nucleotides) under Staphylococcus aureus. RNAcentral describes it as "16S ribosomal RNA". It matches the Rfam family "Bacterial small subunit ribosomal RNA". Lineage: Bacteria; Bacillati; Bacillota; Bacilli; Caryophanales; Staphylococcaceae. The record is from RNAcentral.